This 16-nucleotide small RNA is filed under the name Arabidopsis thaliana (thale cress). Its description in RNAcentral is "ATSL185150". Lineage: Eukaryota; Viridiplantae; Streptophyta; Magnoliopsida; Brassicales; Brassicaceae. The record is from RNAcentral.
AAGCAGAAACAGUAAA